CGCGAGCUCAAGUUGGUGGCAUUGUGUUAAAUGCUGAGAAGUAUAUGUAGAAUGGAAAAAAUUGUAUUAGCUUACAAACCCUUCAAAAUACAAGUGCUAUAGAGAAGUCCAAGAAAAAGAGCUUUGAUGUGGAAGAAAAUAGAAGCAAUUAGCAUAUGAAAUUAUCAGCAAGAACAAAUUUUAAUUUCAUCAAGACUUCUUUUGUUGUUUAAUGGAUAUUUCCCUAUCAUUUAUUCCUAAGAGAUUUUCAAUGUCAAGUUUGUCAUUUACCUUUACAAUUUAAUUUUAGUAUUUUUACUCUUCGAAGCCUUUUAUUUGUAUAUCCUAUUUUGCCCUCAUAAAAAAUUUAUAUAAAUGGUGGUUUUAUUAUUUUGCAAGAGAAUAAAGAGGUUAGGGUUGAAAUCGUAUAAAAAAAUAAGACAGGGUGCAAAUCACAAAAAAGGAUACACAUUAGAGGUGCAAAAUGCGACGGACUCAAAGAAUCUGAGUAUAUAAGUCUUCCGAGGCAUUCCCCUAAAAUAGUAUAAAUAAAGGCGUCUAUAAAUAAAUAAAUAAAUAAAGUCUAGAGAAAGAUUUGUUGUUACCGCUGAGAUGAAUCAACAGAGCCUGCACUCUAAGUCACGAAAAUAUGUCUCUAAUCACGGAUUUUCACCUACAAACGCAACACCUACCGCACGACGUGGUAGGCCCAAACGGGCUAAGUACCACCAAAGGAUAGCUAGAAGUCUCAUUGACUGCCCCCAAAGGUGGAGGGCAAGACUAGCGUGGGCCACAUAAAUAUAAAAAAAAUACAGCAAGUAGAGCAGACAAUUCAUAUAAAAAUAAUUGAAUAAUCUAAAAAGCUAAAACUUGUUUUGAUAACUGAAUUCAGAUUAGUAAAUGAAAGUCGAAGCUAUAAACUAAUUUUGUAUCUAAUAAAUGAAACUAAAACUUAAAACUGAGUCUAAAACUGAUAUCUGAAACUGAAGUUGAAAACUGUGUUACUUUUAAAAAAAUAGUUUUUCUGAAAAUAUUGCACAUAAUGGCGCUAUGUAUAUGAGGAUCUGGGCACCGUAUGGGGACUGUUAAAGCUACUUUGGAGCCUCCGGUCAUGCUUACUGAAACUCAAUCUGUAUGUGGGGCCAUCGAGUGACUCAAUCAAGCUUAACACGUCUGAACGUGCUAGCAUCUACAAGCAUGUGGUAGCUAGCCCUGGCCACCGUGACACUCAUGCUCGUGGAGGGUAUCUACUUUUCUCUUUUUGAAUCUGAAUCUGAAUUUGAAUAUUUUAGGCCCUCGUGGAUAAAGUCUCCACUAUACUAACUCAUACACACUAAGCCCUCGUGGAUAAAGUGAGACUAUAUUAUUUUUUUUCUUCUGAAUCUGAACUGAAAGUUUGAGCAGUACAAGCAAUUUCACGUAAACAAUCAAUCAGAGAACAUCAAGAACCUAUUCAUUUUCUGUUCUAAAUAUGAACUGUAGGUCUGAGCAAUAUAAGUAGCUUCACAUAAUAACAAUUCCACAUAAUCAAAUAAUUACAACAAGGCAUACUAUUUAAGAUUUCUCGUAUUAGAGGUUUUCAUUGUAUAUAUAUAGUAAGGCAAGCAAGCAAGCAAUAUACUAUUCACAUUUUAAUAUAGCCCUUUACUUAGGGAAGAAAGUUCAAAUCACCUCUAAUGGGGUGCUCAAGUUUUUCCUUCCAAGAACUCACGAAUUCGGCUCCUCAAAAUCUACAGUUAAGCAGUUACAAUCAUUAUUUUGUCCUACUAACUCAACACCCAUAAUUCACUCGAGGCUUUAUUGGCCAGCAAUAACUUUUCAUAACUUUCUACCCAUAACUCUUAUAAAUUUCAUAAUCUGUAGUCAUAGUCUGUCAUAAAAUUACUAACUUUAAUACUAAUAGGUAACGAAACGUAUCUUGAAUGAUGCCUCCACAAACCCUGGGUCUUGACGAACGCUUGAUUUUUUGGGUGAAAACCUAGAUUUUAGGAAUUAGAAGGUGUUAAACGAUGUUAAUCUAAAUUUUUUAACUUGAAUCCAUGGUAGAAAUCUUACCUUGGGUGGAUUGGUGAAUCCCUAAUCAAGUCGUUCUUGCUCUCAAAAUCUCUCCAAAAUACAGUAGAAAUAAGUGAACUUCUCUCAUUUUGAAGUGCCUCAACCUGACACGUUAUGCCACACGUCGCAUGGCA
Molecule: long non-coding RNA, 2168 nt
Filed under: Nicotiana tabacum (common tobacco)
Lineage: Eukaryota; Viridiplantae; Streptophyta; Magnoliopsida; Solanales; Solanaceae
Description: long non-coding RNA (NTAB_LNC001818)
Source: RNAcentral